Rattus norvegicus (Norway rat) is the source of this 69-nucleotide non-coding RNA. Lineage: Eukaryota; Metazoa; Chordata; Mammalia; Rodentia; Muridae. The record is from Rfam.
GGGGAUUUAGCUCAGCGGUAGAGCGCUUGUUUAGCGAGCACAAGGCCCUGGGUUCGGUCCCCAGCUCCG